Molecule: ribosomal RNA, 475 nt
Filed under: uncultured Flavobacterium sp.
Lineage: Bacteria; Pseudomonadati; Bacteroidota; Flavobacteriia; Flavobacteriales; Flavobacteriaceae
Description: bacterial SSU rRNA
Rfam family: Bacterial small subunit ribosomal RNA
Source: RNAcentral
AGAGUUUGAUCAUGGCUCAGGAUGAACGCUAGCGGCAGGCUUAACACAUGCAAGUCGAGGGGUAUAGUAGCAAUACUAGAGACCGGCGCACGGGUGCGUAACGCGUAUGCAAUCUACCUUUUGCAGAGGGAUAGCCCAGAGAAAUUUGGAUUAAUACCUCAUAGUAUAUAGAUUUGGCAUCAAGUUUAUAUUAAAGUCACAACGGCAAAAGAUGAGCAUGCGUCCCAUUAGCUAGAUGGUAAGGUAACGGCUUACCAUGGCAACGAUGGGUAGGGGUUCUGAGAGGGAGAUCCCCCACACUGGUACUGAGACACGGACCAGACUCCUACGGGAGGCAGCAGUGAGGAAUAUUGGACAAUGGGCGCAAGCCUGAUCCAGCCAUGCCGCGUGCAGGAAGACGGUCCUAUGGAUUGUAAACUGCUUUUGUACAGGAAGAAACCCUCUUACGUGUAAGAGAUGACGGUACUUAAGAAUA